RNAcentral lists this ribosomal RNA (628 nucleotides) under uncultured fungus. RNAcentral's name for it is "eukaryotic LSU rRNA". It matches the Rfam family "Eukaryotic large subunit ribosomal RNA", at positions 23 to 673 of the family's 3401-position model. Lineage: Eukaryota; Fungi. The record is from RNAcentral.
ACCCGCUGAAUUUAAGCAUAUCAAUAAGCGGAGGAAAAGAAACCAACAGGGAUUGCCUCAGUAACGGCGAGUGAAGCGGCAACAGCUCAAAUUUGAAAUCUGGCCUCACGGUCCGAGUUGUAAUUUGUAGAGGAUGCUUUUGGCGAGGUGCUUUCCGAGUUCCCUGGAACGGGACGCCAUAGAGGGUGAGAGCCCCGUACGGUAAGACCACCGAGCCUCUGUAAAGCUCCUUCGACGAGUCGAGUAGUUUGGGAAUGCUGCUCUAAAUGGGAGGUGUACGUCUUCUAAAGCUAAAUACCGGCCAGAGACCGAUAGCGCACAAGUAGAGUGAUCGAAAGAUGAAAAGCACUUUGAAAAGAGGGUUAAAAAGUACGUGAAAUUGUUGAAAGGGAAGCAUUCAUGACCAGACUUGGGCUUGGUUGAACAUCCGGCGUUCUCGCCGGUGCACUCUGCCAGUCCAGGCCAGCAUCAGUUUGCCCCGGGGGACAAAGGCGGUGGGAAUGUGGCUCUCUUCGGGGAGUGUUAUAGCCCGCCGUGUAAUGCCCUGGGGUGGACUGAGGAACGCGCCUCGGCACGGAUGCUGGCGUAAUGGUCAUCAAUGACCCGUCUUGAAACACGGACCAAGGAG